CUCCUGCCUGCGGACGGGAUCCUGAUCCAGGGCAAUGACCUGAAAAUUGAUGAGAGCUCUCUGACCGGGGAGUCGGACCAGGUCAAGAAAUCCAUGGACAAAGACCCCAUGCUGCUGUCCGGCACCCACGUGAUGGAGGGCUCGGGCAGGAUGGUGGUGACGGCCGUGGGCAUCAACUCUCAGACCGGCAUCAUCUUCACCCUGCUGGGAGCAGGGGAAGGCGACGAGGAGAAGAAAGUGAAGAAAGGUAA
Malurus melanocephalus (red-backed fairy wren) is the source of this 251-nucleotide long non-coding RNA. RefSeq lists it as uncharacterized. The record is from RefSeq and is a predicted model, not a curated record. The transcript is spliced from 2 exons. Lineage: Eukaryota; Metazoa; Chordata; Aves; Passeriformes; Maluridae.